CAGUCUGAUGGAGCAACGCCGCGUGAGUGAAGAAGGUUUUCGGAUCGCAAAGCUCUGUUGUUGGUGAAAAAGGAUAGAGGUAGUAACUGGCCUUUAUUUGACGGUAAUCAACCAGAAAGUCACGGCUAACUACGUGCCAGCAGCCGCGGUAAUACGUAGGUGGCAAGCGUUGUCCGGAUUUAUUGGGCGUAAAGCGAGCGCAGGCGGAAGAAUAAGUCUGAUGUGAAAGCCCUCGGCUUAACCGAGGAACUGCAUCGGAAACUGUUUUUCUUGAGUGCAGAAGAGGAGAGUGGAACUCCAUGUGUAGCGGUGGAAUGCGUAGAUAUAUGGAAGAACACCAGUGGCGAAGGCGGCUCUCUGGUCUGCAACUGACGCUGAGGCUCGAAAGCAUGGGUAGCGAACAGGAUUAGAUACC
Molecule: ribosomal RNA, 415 nt
Filed under: Lactobacillus crispatus
Lineage: Bacteria; Bacillati; Bacillota; Bacilli; Lactobacillales; Lactobacillaceae
Description: bacterial SSU rRNA
Rfam family: Bacterial small subunit ribosomal RNA
Source: RNAcentral